UAGGAAUAUUGGACAAUGGGCGAAAGCCUGAUCCAGCCAUGCCGCGUGUGUGAUGAAGGCCCUAGGGUUGUAAAGCACUUUCGUUGGGGAUGAUAAUGACCGUACCCAAAGAAGAAGCCACGGCUAAAUUCGUGCCAGCAGCCGCGGUAAUACGAAUGUGGCAAGCGUUGUUCGGAAUCACUGGGCGUAAAGAAUGCGUAGGCGGCUUAACAAGUCAGGAGUGAAAUCCCGGGGCUUAACCUCGGAACUGCUUCUGAAACUGUUUUGCUAGAGUCCCGGAGGGGUUAAUGGAAUUCCGAGUGUAGAGGUGAAAUUCGCAGAUAUUCGGAGGAACACCAGUGGCGAAGGCGAUUAACUGGACGGGAACUGACGCUGAGGCAUGAAAGUGUGGGGAUCAAAC
Molecule: ribosomal RNA, 400 nt
Filed under: uncultured bacterium
Lineage: Bacteria
Description: bacterial SSU rRNA
Rfam family: Bacterial small subunit ribosomal RNA
Source: RNAcentral